RNAcentral lists this long non-coding RNA (213 nucleotides) under Nicotiana benthamiana. RNAcentral describes it as "long non-coding RNA (NBEN_LNC021927)". Lineage: Eukaryota; Viridiplantae; Streptophyta; Magnoliopsida; Solanales; Solanaceae. The record is from RNAcentral.
UCUACUACAAUUGCUUAAUUUAUUGUUGAAAAUUCGUGAAAAAUUGUGAAGUUGUUGAAUUGAAGUUUUCAAGUGUUCAACGAUUUUCAAUUUGUUGAAAAUUCGUGAAAAAUUGUGAAGUUGUUGAAUUGAAGUUUUCAAGUGUUCAACGAUUGUCAAUUUUGAAGAAGUUGUUCGGCAAUCCGGUAAACUCGUUUCAACUCUUACGUUUUA